GACGAACGCUGGCGGCGUGCCUAAUACAUGCAAGUCGAGCGAGUCUGCCUUGAAGAUCGGAGUGCUUGCACUCUGUGAAACAAGAUACAGGCUAGCGGCGGACGGGUGAGUAACACGUGGGUAACCUGCCCAAGAGAUCGGGAUAACACCUGGAAACAGAUGCUAAUACCGGAUAACAACAGAUGAUGUCUAUCAACUGUUUAAAAGAUGGUUCUGCUAUCACUCUUGGAUGGACCUGCGGUGCAUUAGCUAGUUGGUAGGGUAACGGCCUACCAAGGCGAUGAUGCAUAGCCGAGUUGAGAGACUGAUCGGCCACAUUGGGACUGAGACACGGCCCAAACUCCUACGGGAGGCAGCAGUAGGGAAUCUUCCACAAUGGACGCAAGUCUGAUGGAGCAACGCCGCGUGAGUGAAGAAGGGUUUCGGCUCGUAAAGCUCUGUUGUUGGUGAAGAAGGACAGGGGUAGUAACUGACCUUUGUUUGACGGUAAUCAAUUAGAAAGUCACGGCUAACUAAGUG
This 519-nucleotide ribosomal RNA is filed under the name uncultured bacterium. RNAcentral describes it as "partial 16S ribosomal RNA". It matches the Rfam family "Bacterial small subunit ribosomal RNA", at positions 28 to 507 of the family's 1533-position model. The record is from RNAcentral.